UACGGAGGGUGCGAGCGUUGUCCGGAAUCAUUGGGCGUAAAGAGCGUGUAGGCGGCUCGGUAAGUCCGCUGUGAAAGUCCAGGGCUCGACCCUGGAAUGCCGGUGGAAACUGUCGAGCUAGAGUCCGGAAGAGGCGAGUGGAAUUCCUGGUGUAGCGGUGAAAUGCGCAGAUAUCAGGAGGAACACCAAUGGCGAAGGCAGCUCGCUGGGACGGUACUGACGCUGAGACGCGAAAGCGUGGGGAGCAAACAGG
RNAcentral lists this ribosomal RNA (253 nucleotides) under uncultured bacterium. RNAcentral describes it as "partial 16S ribosomal RNA". It matches the Rfam family "Bacterial small subunit ribosomal RNA", at positions 524 to 776 of the family's 1533-position model. The record is from RNAcentral.